CGUGAAGAUGAAGGCAGAAACCAAACAGACACCACCACAGACAUGGGGAGCCAGAGCUCCCAAGGAGCUGGAGGACAUGGAAACACCUCCUGGUUCCUCUGGAUAGAGUGUAGCCCUGCCUAUGUCUUGGUUUUGGACUUUUGGGCCUCAGAGGGAGAUACAAAGUGUGACUGAGGAGCGCCAAUCCUGAGGUCGGGACACUGAAGCCGUGGCCUGGUCCUACAACCAAAAAGGUGCUUCCCCAGCUGGCUCCGGACAGAACCAGAAUCAGCUGUCGGAGCUCAGAUGGCUGGCCCAUGAUUAAGGUCACUGAGGAACAUGGACAGCGAAUGGAUUCCCCUCAUAAAUGAGAAGUUUGGUACUGAGCCACCUCUUGAUGGAAGCUGGGGACAUACUUCAUCCUGGGGCCUUUCUAACACUUGGAUAAAGAGGAUGCUGAGCUGAGCUGAAA
This is a long non-coding RNA of Mastomys coucha (southern multimammate mouse), 451 nucleotides long. RefSeq lists it as uncharacterized. NCBI's taxonomy places the organism in Eukaryota, Metazoa, Chordata, Mammalia, Rodentia, Muridae. The transcript is spliced from 2 exons. The record is from RefSeq and is a predicted model, not a curated record.